GACGAACGCUGGCGGCGUGCUUAACACAUGCAAGUCGAACGGAAAGGCCCUGCUUUUGUGGGGUGCUCGAGUGGCGAACGGGUGAGUAACACGUGAGUAACCUGCCCUUGACUUUGGGAUAACUUCAGGAAACUGGGGCUAAUACCGGAUAGGAGCUCCUGCUGCAUGGUGGGGGUUGGAAAGUUUCGGCGGUUGGGGAUGGACUCGCGGCUUAUCAGCUUGUUGGUGGGGUAGUGGCUUACCAAGGCUUUGACGGGUAGCCGGCCUGAGAGGGUGACCGGCCACAUUGGGACUGAGAUACGGCCCAGACUCCUCCGGGAGGCAGCAGUGGGGAAUAUUGCACAAUGGGCGGAAGCCUGAUGCAGCAACGCCGCGUGCUGGAUGACGGCCUUCGGGUUGUAAACCGCUUUCGCCUGUGACGAAGCGUGAGUGACGGUAAUGGGUAAAGAAGCACCGGCUAACUACGUG
Molecule: ribosomal RNA, 468 nt
Filed under: uncultured bacterium
Lineage: Bacteria
Description: partial 16S ribosomal RNA
Rfam family: Bacterial small subunit ribosomal RNA
Source: RNAcentral